UUCCGGUUGAUCCUGCCGGACCCUACUGCUAUCGGGGGAGGACUAAAACAUGCAAGUCGUGCGCCUCCAAGCCAUGGUGGAGACGCGGCAUCCGGCUCAGUAACACGUGGCUAACCCUCCCUUGAGACGGAGAAAACCCCGGGAAACUGGGGUUAAUCUCCGAUAAGAGAAGACACCUGGAAUGGGUCUUCUCUCAAAAGGCGCCUAUACCAUGCUUUUAGGCGCUGCUCAAGGACGGGGCCGCGGCCGAUCAGGUUGUUGGUGAGGCAACGGCUCACCAAGCCUAUAACCGGUACGGGCCGUGAGAGCGGGAGCCCGGAGAUGGGCACUGAGACAAGGGCCCAGGCCCUACGGGGCGCAGCAGUUGCGAAAACUCCGCAAUGCACGAAAGUGUGACGGGGCUACCCCGAGUGCCGUCCGCUGAGGGCGGCUUUUCCCCGGUGUAAGGAGCCGGGGGAAUAAGGAGAGGGCAAGUCUGGUGUCAGCCGCCGCGGUAAUACCAGCUCUCCGAGUGGUAGGGAUGAUUAUUGGGCUUAAAGCGUCCGUAGCCGGCCCGGCAAGUCUUCCGUUAAAUCCAACGAUUCAAUCGUUGGACUGCAGGAGAUACUGUUGGGCUAGGGGGCGGGAGAGGCCGACGGUAUUCUAGGGGUAGGGGUAAAAUCCUAUAAUCCCUGGAAGACCACCAGUGGCGAAGGCGGUCGGCUAGAACGCGCUCGACGGUGAGGGACGAAAGCUGAGGGAGCGAACCGGAUUAGAUACCCGGGUAGUCCCAGCUGUAAACGAUGCGGGCUAGGUGUUGGGGCGGCUACGGGCCGCUUCAGUGCCGCAGGGAAACCAUUAAGCCCGCCGCCUGGGGAGUACGGCCGCAAGGCUGAAACUUAAAGGAAUUGGCGGGGG
RNAcentral lists this ribosomal RNA (897 nucleotides) under uncultured archaeon. RNAcentral describes it as "bacterial SSU rRNA". It matches the Rfam family "Archaeal small subunit ribosomal RNA", at positions 1 to 874 of the family's 1478-position model. The record is from RNAcentral.